This is a long non-coding RNA of Penaeus indicus, 594 nucleotides long. RefSeq lists it as uncharacterized. NCBI's taxonomy places the organism in Eukaryota, Metazoa, Arthropoda, Malacostraca, Decapoda, Penaeidae. The record is from RefSeq and is a predicted model, not a curated record. The transcript is spliced from 3 exons.
UCGAGAUCAGAGAGGAGUGCCAUACAGCAGCCUGAAAGAGUAUUUGAUUAUCGUGAAAUAUCUGUGCUCGAGGCUGGCACAUGGCACAUGGCUCUUGAAUAACAUCCGAUGUGUCUCUCUUGUUUAUAAGAAUUUAAAACCCAUUCAAAGAUUGUGAUUUAUGCGUCCCUGGGGCUGUGAACAAGAAUGAAAGAGCCCAGGACAUUGAUGAAGACAAGGAAAGAAGACACCUGAGAAGAACCAGAAGAAUAAAAGUGACAGGUUGGAAUACAACCAUUUGGGACAUUUAUUUUUGUAGAUGAAAGUUUAUUUUACUGUAGAUGUGUAAUGAUAUUUAACUCAAUAUAUCAACAAAUGUAAACUUAUUAAGUGGUUUGAUAUUAUCCCCUUCUCUCAGUUACCUCUAAGGCUGAAAUUAGAUCAUAAGUAACCUGUAUGAAUAUAUAUAUUUUAGUGUGGGUUCUAAAGAGUACUUUUGGAGAAACCACACACUUGUAUUAACAGAUAGUGCCCCUCUGGAUAAAGUCUGAGUGGUUCCCAGAGCAAAGAGUAGUAAUAAGGUCUUUGCUAAGGAGCAUAGAAAAGGGAGGGCGC